RNAcentral lists this ribosomal RNA (857 nucleotides) under Chalara sp. OC0019. RNAcentral's name for it is "eukaryotic LSU rRNA". It matches the Rfam family "Eukaryotic large subunit ribosomal RNA", at positions 63 to 938 of the family's 3401-position model. The record is from RNAcentral. RNAcentral also lists the same sequence under 1 other name. Lineage: Eukaryota; Fungi; Ascomycota; Leotiomycetes; Helotiales.
AACCAACAGGGAUUGCCCUAGUAACGGCGAGUGAAGCGGCAACAGCUCAAAUUUGAAAUCUGGCGUCUUUGGCGUCCGAGUUGUAAUUUGCAGAGGGCGCUUUGGCAUUGGCAGCGGUCCAAGUUCCUUGGAACAGGACGUCACAGAGGGUGAGAAUCCCGUACGUGGUCGCUAGCCUUUACCGUGUAAAGCCCCUUCGACGAGUCGAGUUGUUUGGGAAUGCAGCUCUAAAUGGGAGGUAAAUUUCUUCUAAAGCUAAAUACUGGCCAGAGACCGAUAGCGCACAAGUAGAGUGAUCGAAAGAUGAAAAGCACUUUGGAAAGAGAGUUAAAAAGCACGUGAAAUUGUUGAAAGGGAAGCGCUUGCAGCCAGACUUGCCUGUAGUUGCUCAUCCGGGUUUUUACCCGGUGCACUCUUCUAUAGGCAGGCCAGCAUCAGUUUGGGCGGUUGGAUAAAGGUCUCUGUCACGUACCUCCUCUCGGGGAGAACUUAUAGGGGAGACGUAAUGCAACCAGCCUGGACUGAGGUCCGCGCAUCUGCUAGGAUGCUGGCGUAAUGGCUGUAAGCGGCCCGUCUUGAAACACGGACCAAGGAGUCUAACAUCUAUGCGAGUGUUUGGGUGUCAAGCCCGAGCGCGUAAUGAAAGUGAACGGAGGUGGGAACCUUUCGGGGUGCACCAUCGACCGAUCCUGAUGUCUUCGGAUGGAUUUGAGUAAGAGCAUAGCUGUUGGGACCCGAAAGAUGGUGAACUAUGCUUGAAUAGGGUGAAGCCAGAGGAAACUCUGGUGGAGGCUCGCAGCGGUUCUGACGUGCAAAUCGAUCGUCAAAUUUGGGCAUAGGGGCGAAAGACUAAUCGA